UCGCAACAAGUUUUGGAUUUAAAAACUUCUUUAAAAUGGCUCCAUAUACGGGGUUCGGCAACUCCUCAACAAAUCGAAACCAUUCUCAAUUUCCUGGACGAACAUAGAGAUUUAGCUCGCGGGAGGUUGAAUAGUUGAGCCCAGCCAGGACGAUAACCUGAGAGUCCACCUGUAAUAGCUGCCUAUGUACCACCACCAUUGACACAAGAAUGCCUGACUUUCACACCUUCCUCUCAACACUGUACAAGGAGACGAUCUGCCAGCACACGUGUAAGAAGCAGAUUGUAUCAAUAAGAAGAGGAGCGUGCACAGAGAUAGAGACGGUGAAAACCGCAGAGCUUGCAGGCAUAAGGGGUGAAUUGGCAGGCAUCAGUCCUAACCCUACAUAACACAAUAAAGGAAUAUCUGGAUAGCAAUUAAGAUUUUGUUAGUGUAUUGUUAGUUAUUUGUGUUUAGUAUUUCUUUGUUAUUAAUUUGUUAUGUCAGG
Molecule: long non-coding RNA, 487 nt
Organism: Helicoverpa zea (corn earworm)
Lineage: Eukaryota; Metazoa; Arthropoda; Insecta; Lepidoptera; Noctuidae
Exons: 3
Source: RefSeq, a predicted model, not a curated record